RNAcentral lists this ribosomal RNA (449 nucleotides) under uncultured bacterium. RNAcentral's name for it is "partial 16S ribosomal RNA". It matches the Rfam family "Bacterial small subunit ribosomal RNA", at positions 29 to 523 of the family's 1533-position model. The record is from RNAcentral.
AACGAACGCUGGCGGAAUGCCUAACACAUGCAAGUCGAACGAGAUCUUCGGGUCUAGUGGCGCACGGGUGCGUAACGCGUGGGAAUCUGCCCUUUGGUUCGGAAUAACAGUUGGAAACGACUGCUAAUACCGGAUGAUGACGAAGGUCCAAAGAUUUAUCGCCAGAGGAUGAGCCCGCGUAGGAUUAGCUAGUUGGUGUGGUAAAGGCGCACCAAGGCGACGAUCCUUAGCUGGUCUGAGAGGAUGAUCAGCCACACUGGGACUGAGACACGGCCCAGACUCCUACGGGAGGCAGCAGUGGGGAAUAUUGGACAAUGGGCGAAAGCCUGAUCCAGCAAUGCCGCGUGAGUGAUGAAGGCCUUAGGGUUGUAAAGCUCUUUUACCCGGGAUGAUAAUGACAGUACCGGGAGAAUAAGCUCCGGCUAACUCCGUGCCAGCCGCCGCGGUAA